AUGAUAUCUGUGUUCUUCCUGGAUGGCCAAAUUCAUUUAAAUGUGAUGUGCUGUGAAACAUUUGAGGGUGUUUUUUUUGUUGUUGUUGUUUUCUGUUUCUUAUAUGUUUCUAUCUCAUUAUAAUUCUAAUUUUUGUUUCUGUCUCACUAAAUGACAUAAUUUCAAUAAGACUGAUUUGGCCACUCUGGGAAACACUUGUCUUGAACUAAUUGUUUAUUUGUAAGUCUCUUUAGAAAAGGAAGGAGAUAAGACUUCUCAGGCCCCAAUGGACAGCAAUAUUUAUUAGUACACAGAACUCUCCAAAUAAAAUCCUGGUUAAAAAAUUGCUUUGUUGAAAACCAUCCUUGGCCAAACCUAACAAGCAAUUUGACAAAUUUAAGCAAUAACAAACUAGAUUCAUUUCCUUGGUGAAUCCUUCCCCUACUUGUGCUCCAAGUCUUUCUAUACUGAGCUGUCUAUAUUGAGUCUUUCUAGAUUGUCUUUCUAUAUUGAGCUCUCCUGCUUCCCGCUAUCCUCUAAUUUGUCUUUUUUCCACAGCUCUACUCCCCUUCCCCUUGUCUUGACCCUCCACCUUUUCCAACAACUCUUCUAAGAUCUCCCAAUGCCAGUUGCCUCUAAAGAUUCAUCCUCCCAUGAGCCAGGUAGCAGGCAGAAGUAGAAUUUAAAUCUUGUAUCUCAGUUGAAUUAAGACUGGUAAUUAAGAAUUUCCCUGAAUCCAGAUAAAAUCAACCACUAUUCAUAGAAUAAUUUGGAAUGUUUUCGCUGUCUAUAACCCAGUGUUAUCUGAAGUUGUGAUCAACUUCUACACAUGUUGAUCAGAACCUCAGAAACCAAAUCCUGAACAUAAAAGCUGAUUGAAUUGACCUGGAAAGAGAUAGUUGUGAUCCCUCUUUUCAAAAUAUACUUGAAGAUCAAAAAAAUUUCAAAAGGUAGAGCAGAGACUCUUAAAAACUGCACCCAAACAUUUCUAAUGAAAAUUGAUUGGAACAUAAUUAAAUCCUGUAAACAAAGAGAAAAUGAAACUGUAGAAUAUUUUGGGAUAAAUUAGGAAAUAAUUUCUACCUUUUGGUGUUAAAGAAGCUGCUGGUAUAAAAGUGGUCCUUUCAUCUUACUUUGUCAAUAAAAUUAAACCUGAAGUGUGAAACCUAAUUUUGAAAAACAGGAUUAAAAUGAGAAAUAGCCCUUUUAUCUGAACUACAAUACUCAAAAAAACAUUUUAAAGGAACUUUAGAACAAAAAUCAGACAGGACCCAAAAUAAACAUAUUGUUGUACAGAUCAAAUAGCUAGGUGGCCUACUUCUGAACCAACCACUUAUUGAGCAGGACACUUGUAGCUAUUGUAAACAGGAGGAACACUGGAACAAAAAAGAUUCUCUCAUAUUACAAAAGAGAAACCAGGAUGAAAAAAGUCUUUUUAUAGAUCAAAGAGGGUACUUCAGGAAAGGAAAAGAACUCAGAUCCUGCCUUACACUUAAACACUCAAGGUGAGUUAACUAUAAACAUAGAUGGUCAAACUUAUCAGUCUCUGAUUUAUAAAGGUGUAACCCUUUUUAUAUAAAUACUGCUAUCUUUGUUCCCCUUCUUACUCAGAGUAAACAUACCACACUGGGUAUAGGUAUUUCAAAUAACCAACAGAUUUUCUCUGUCUCCUAACCAUUAGCUGUCACCCUCCAGUCCAUGAGUAAAUGUAUUUCUUCCUGCUCUGUGGUAUCAUACCUAAAAAUUUAAUAAGGAAUGGCUUAAGUUGUAAAUGAAAUUGCACAUUUACACCAGGACUAUUUCUUACAUUUUAGACUCAGGACUCCUCUACUCAUAAUCAAAUUGUUUUCUUUGUACAUAUUUUUGUCUUCACUAUUAUAUUUGAUACAUUUCCCAAAGAUCUUGACAUCAUAUCUGAUACACUAGGUGCUAAAAAUUUCACUGACAUAGAAAAAAUCCCCAGAAGGGAUCAAGUCUGUAAUGGAAGUUUGUAUACCUGAAGACUUACUUUAUCAUGCACUGCAUUAGUUCUUGUUACUUUCCUGUCCUUUCAGAAAAUAAGGGUAAGAAUUAUAGCAAAUAGUGGAGGAAAACUAUUUGUUCUAGUGAAGAAACCAAAUGAAUGAAGAAAUCAACCUGUUCAUGACCACAGGGCCACCAACAAAAUUAUAAUGCUUCUCUUCCCCAUAGUAUGAAAGCCAAAUGCCAUCUUAUCAUCAAUUCGGCCUGAAGCUAUCUCAACUGUACAGAUCUUUUCUCUGUCUUUGUUCCGUGUGCCUUUAGACUAGGAGAGUCACUAACUUUUUGCCUUCAUCUGGGGAAGACAACAAUAUAGCUAAAUGGUUGUGCCCGGGGGUCCACUGAAGGCCCCUGCUAUUUUUCCCAGGUCCUCAAUCAAAACUUAAAAGAUCUGAAUUUCCUUUGAUUUAGUUAUCAUACCAUGUGUAAAUGAUCUUCUACUUUCUUCAGAUAACAGGUACAGAGAACAAUUUGUAACAUGAAUUUCAUUUACUUGCUCUUGGCGUUAGCCUUAGCUAACAAAGGAAGCAUAUAUUUCAAAAAAAAAAAAGUAAAAUUUCACCC
Macaca mulatta (Rhesus monkey) is the source of this 2562-nucleotide long non-coding RNA. Lineage: Eukaryota; Metazoa; Chordata; Mammalia; Primates; Cercopithecidae. The record is from Ensembl.